GGCUUUGCUUUCGUCACUAUAGUACAAACCCCAGAAUUUGCACCUGUAUUAAGGAAAUCUUUUUCAAUAGUCAAUCAAGGCCGAGUCUCACUCCUGUAGGUGGUGUGACCGUAGCUAUGGAAUCAGGUCCGGCUGUGACCGAGUCAGGGAUGGUAUCAGAGCAGCUUCAACCCACACUUGAUCGAAAGGAGGAGGCGCCGUAAACACAGUUGAGGGAAUUGAGCACCGGUAAGUACCGUGCGUGUCCCCCGGGGCAUUCACUAUUCCUAUUUUAAGGGUUUAGUCUAU
RNAcentral lists this long non-coding RNA (288 nucleotides) under Nicotiana benthamiana. RNAcentral's name for it is "long non-coding RNA (NBEN_LNC006225)". The record is from RNAcentral. Lineage: Eukaryota; Viridiplantae; Streptophyta; Magnoliopsida; Solanales; Solanaceae.